RNAcentral lists this ribosomal RNA (996 nucleotides) under Ornithinicoccus sp. TSAR33. RNAcentral's name for it is "bacterial SSU rRNA". It matches the Rfam family "Bacterial small subunit ribosomal RNA", at positions 94 to 1089 of the family's 1533-position model. The record is from RNAcentral. Lineage: Bacteria; Bacillati; Actinomycetota; Actinomycetes; Micrococcales; Intrasporangiaceae.
AGUGGCGAACGGGUGAGUAACACGUGAGUAACCUGCCCCUUUCUCUGGGAUAACUCCGGGAAACCGGUGCUAAUACUGGAUACGACCCGAGCGGGCAUCCGCAUCGGGUGGAAAGUUUUUCGGUAAGGGAUGGACUCGCGGCCUAUCAGCUUGUUGGUGGGGUAAUGGCCUACCAAGGCGACGACGGGUAGCCGGCCUGAGAGGGCGACCGGCCACACUGGGACUGAGACACGGCCCAGACUCCUACGGGAGGCAGCAGUGGGGAAUAUUGCACAAUGGGCGAAAGCCUGAUGCAGCGACGCCGCGUGAGGGAUGACGGCCUUCGGGUUGUAAACCUCUUUCAGCAGGGAAGAAGCUUUUGUGACGGUACCUGCAGAAGAAGCACCGGCUAACUACGUGCCAGCAGCCGCGGUAAUACGUAGGGUGCGAGCGUUGUCCGGAAUUAUUGGGCGUAAAGAGCUUGUAGGCGGUUUGUCGCGUCUGCUGUGAAAACUCGGGGCUUAACUCCGAGCGUGCAGUGGGUACGGGCAGACUAGAGUAUGGUAGGGGAGACUGGAAUUCCUGGUGUAGCGGUGGAAUGCGCAGAUAUCAGGAGGAACACCGAUGGCGAAGGCAGGUCUCUGGGCCAUAACUGACGCUGAGAAGCGAAAGCAUGGGUAGCGAACAGGAUUAGAUACCCUGGUAGUCCAUGCCGUAAACGUUGGGCGCUAGGUGUGGGACUCAUUCCACGAGUUCCGUGCCGCAGCUAACGCAUUAAGCGCCCCGCCUGGGGAGUACGGCCGCAAGGCUAAAACUCAAAGGAAUUGACGGGGGGCCCGCACAAGCGGCGGAGCAUGCGGAUUAAUUUCGAUGCAACGCGAAGAACCUUUACCAAGGGCUUGACAUAUACCGGGAAACACCCAGAGAUGGGUUGCCCCGCAAGGGUCGGUAUACAGGUGGUGCAUGGUUGUCGUUCAGCUUCGUUGGUCGUUGAGAUGGUUUGGGGUUUAAGUUCCC